UGAAGCCUGUCAUGUUUGAGCUGCCCAUCUCUCCAGUGGUAGCUGAGUCUCUUCAGAGAUUUGAGAAAAAUAAGCAGCUGAAGGGUCUGAAACAGCAACAUAAAAAAAGACAAAAAGACAUGGAAACUUCAGUUUCACAGACCAAAACUACUCCACCUCCUCCCUGCCUAUCGGAUUAUUUCCCUCCACCACAGGGAGGCCAAGGGGCACAGGAUUUCUUCAAUUCACCUCCACCACAGGGAUGCCAAAGGGCACAGGAUUUCUUCAAUUCACCUCCACCACAGGGAUGCCAAAGGGCACAGGAUUGCUUUAAUUCACCUCCACCACAGGGAUGCCAAGGGGCACAGGAUUUCUUUAAUUCACCUCCACCACAGGGAUGCCAAAGGGUACAGGAUUUCUUCAAUUCACCUCCACCACAGGGAUGCCAAAGGGCCCAGGAUUUCUUCAAUUCACCUCCACCACAGGGUUGCCAAAGGGCCCAGAAUUUAUUCGAUUCACCUCCACCACAGGGUUUCCAAAGGGCCAAGGAUUUCUUCAAUUCACCUCCACCACAGGGUUUCCAAAGAGCCCAAAAUGGAGUUAACCCAUAUUCAAUGAAAGUAGGUGCUCCAAUUAGCAAAUAUUCAGGUUAUCCAGGUACAACUACCAAAGCUGGGCCUGGAAUAUCAGACACUGCCCUGGCUCACAUGCUCAGACCUCUCUCACCGAUGUGUGUGCCGGAAGAUGAUGGUGAAUGGGACUCUGGUUGGGAUCACAUGUCCACCCCUGGGACUUCUACAUGUGUUGACUCUUCCCCUGGACAUUUUAAGGCUUUUUUAGGUACUACAUGAUUUAAUCCAGCUCACCUUUUUGCCAAAACAAUCCAAAUUAAUCUAUUUUAGUCAAUGUAAUUCUGAGGUUGAUAUAAGUGCACCUUUUCAACAGUAAACUAUGUUUGUGGUAAGGGAUGUCACUAAUUUUCUCUUUCUCACAUAGGCUAUUUUGCCAGAAAAAAAGGAUGCAGUGGAGCAUAGCAUACUUAGAAAAAAUAAAUAAACUCAAGCAUCUUGUGCUUAUAAUACUUCUUAUAAAAUCCAAUGAGACAAA
Long non-coding RNA from Coregonus clupeaformis (lake whitefish), 1086 nucleotides. RefSeq lists it as uncharacterized. The record is from RefSeq and is a predicted model, not a curated record. NCBI's taxonomy places the organism in Eukaryota, Metazoa, Chordata, Actinopteri, Salmoniformes, Salmonidae. The transcript has 4 exons.